GGAAUCUUCCGCAAUGGGCGAAAGCCUGACGGAGCAACGCCGCGUGAGUGAAGAAGGAUUUCGGUUCGUAAAGCUCUGUUGUUAGGGAAGAAUGAUUGUGUAGUAACUAUACACAGUAGAGACGGUACCUAACCAGAAAGCCACGGCUAACUACGUGCCAGCAGCCGCGGUAAUACGUAGGUGGCAAGCGUUGUCCGGAAUUAUUGGGCGUAAAGCGCGCGCAGGUGGUUUAAUAAGUCUGAUGUGAAAGCCCACGGCUCAACCGUGGAGGGUCAUUGGAAACUGUUAAACUUGAGUGCAGGAGAGAAAAGUGGAAUUCCUAGUGUAGCGGUGAAAUGCGUAGAGAUUAGGAGGAACACCAGUGGCGAAGGCGGCUUUUUGGCCUGUAACUGACACUGAGGCGCGAAAGCGUGGGGAGCAAA
This 422-nucleotide ribosomal RNA is filed under the name uncultured bacterium. RNAcentral's name for it is "bacterial SSU rRNA". It matches the Rfam family "Bacterial small subunit ribosomal RNA", at positions 358 to 772 of the family's 1533-position model. The record is from RNAcentral.